AAGUUGUCCACUAAUGAAACCAAAACAAAAAUCCCCAAGCCUUAAGGAAGGGCUGAAGCUACUUGGUAAAAUGGAAACAAUUGUCAGUAGCCAUGUGAGCAUUCAAUAAUGCAGAUUUCAGUUCAGAAACCUGCCAAAUUCCCAUUGACAUCUACCCAGUGAAGUCCUGAGUUAAAUCCAUGGAAAAGUGCUGAGCUGUGCCAAUCAAAUUGUGAUAGUCACAGUCUGUGCCUCAGACAUAAAAGCAGAUUCUUUGGUAAACAGCCUUUGCUGAAUUUCUGCUCUUCUGCACUAGAGGCAGCAAGUUUAAACAGCAGAUUCCUGCUGUGAAGCUGGGGGAUACAAAGUAAGCAAACUGUGUCACAGCUAGGAACAACACCACUGCCUUGGUUUUUAGGCCUGGUUUCCCUCGUGCUUUAGGAAAACUUGAAAAAAAAAUCAGAGCAUGAAUGCUAAAAAAAGCAAACACAGAAAUGAGGAAGAAAGCAACUAACAGGAAGAAGGGGAAGAUGAAAGAGAAUGUCAAGAUCAACAGAAACAGUGCUCUGCACAAGAGCAUCAGGGUACAAUUAAUAAAUUAUAUACAUGAAAUCAAAUCUUAGCUUUUCUGGGCUCUUGCUACUGUGAGCUGACUGCCAAGUAAAAUUUGAAAUGUUCUAAACUUGCAUGUUUAGAGAUGAAUUCAUUAAUAACAUGUCUUAGUGAACAGAGAAUAUACAGGAAUACAUCUUGUAUUCUCACAAUUGUACUCAUUCAUUUUAAGCAGAUGCCAACUUAUCAACUGUAUGGUUUCUACUUUCUAUUUCAAUUCUACUUUAAUGUUUAAAUAAUCAUAGUUACAUAACUACACACCUUUGCAAUUGAUUUCCUAGGAAUUUUUAGACCAGUAUGGAGCUCCAGGCAGGCAUGCUCUAUGUUAGCAGUGUCAGAGCUGUGCACUGAAGUGACAUUAGUUGCCUUUUGGUAAAACUAAUAAGAAAACAGAAUUGUUUCAUUCCAGCCUCAAAGCAGCAGCAUGAAUCACAGUAAUGGAUGCAACGUGGUAACACGGGGUAUAAUGACAGAAUUUUGUUGCUGUAAAAUAGCCCUUGGUGAUUUUAAACCCAGAAGAUCCAUUGCUACUCUGAGAUAGCUGAAGCACUUUUAUCACAUGAUAGAGGCUGUAUCAGAAAUGGCUUGCAGCAAACAAGUGGAGUUAGAGAACAGGCUUCCCAGAGGGCUCUGUGGGGCUGAUGUCCCCUCACUGCAGUCAACAAAAUCCUCCUGACUUCUGAAGUAGAAAAGUUCUUAAUCAAAGACUAAAAGCCUUUGAAAAUCCUUUGGUCUUGCUGUCCAAUUGUGUGUUUCAGCAGUAAAGUUUGUAUUAGCACAGAAAAUAGGCCAUUAUUAAAGCUAUGUGGGGCAGAGGUACAGCUAGCAAAGCAGCAGUUAACAAAGACAGUGAUGCUUUUUUUUAGAUCAGAGUUCUGAGGGAUUUGUUUUCUGUCCUCCAGGAAGAAGGCUUUGCAGCAUCAGGAAAACAAAGAUAUAAAGCAGUGUCAGAUGAUAAAUAUAAAGUGACUUGUGCUGGAGAUGACAAACCUGAUGUUAUAAACCCUGUCAGAGCUCACUUGCAACCAAGCAGAGAGAGACAUGAUCAACCAGAAUUCAGUACAUGUACAACUGAUCAAGUUCAAGGGCUGAAAUUUCAGUGCUACAAUAAAUUCCCAACUAUUUGGACUUGACUUUACAAUUCUGGAGAGAUCAGAUUAACUGGUAUGAGCACUAAAAGCUGAAUAGAUGCACAGCAAGAGUCCAAUAAAACUGCCACUUGUCUACAGUUCUCUGGAGUGAGCCACAGAAAUUCAGCAAAGCAGUUUCUGUUUGUAGAAAGCCAGGAGGAAUGGAGAAACAAUACAAGCUGACAGCUGAAAUAAUUUUUUUCAGGAUUAAAGCACAAGCAAAAAUAGCCAGAGGCUAAAGGACCUGCUACUGUAGAUACAAACAACAAAAUGAUUAGCACUCAAGCCACUGAUUUUUAUAUUC
This is a non-coding RNA of Sturnus vulgaris (Common starling), 2025 nucleotides long. The record is from RefSeq and is a predicted model, not a curated record. Lineage: Eukaryota; Metazoa; Chordata; Aves; Passeriformes; Sturnidae.